Molecule: ribosomal RNA, 378 nt
Filed under: uncultured Actinomycetes bacterium
Lineage: Bacteria; Bacillati; Actinomycetota; Actinomycetes
Description: bacterial SSU rRNA
Rfam family: Bacterial small subunit ribosomal RNA
Source: RNAcentral
GGCGACGACGGGUAGCCGGCCUGAGAGGGCGACCGGCCACACUGGGACUGAGACACGGCCCAGACUCCUACGGGAGGCAGCAGUGGGGAAUAUUGGGCAAUGGANGAAACUCUGACCCAGCGACGCCGCGUGCGGGAUGAAGGCCUUCGGGUUGUAAACCGCUUUCAGCAGGGAAGAAGCGAAAGUGACGGUACCUGCAGAAGAAGCACCGGCUAACUAUGUGCCAGCAGCCGCGGUAAUACAUAGGGUGCAAGCGUUGUCCGGAAUUAUUGGGCGUAAAGAGCUCGUAGGUGGUUCGUCACGUCGGAUGUGAAAAUCUGGGGCUCAACCCCAGACCUGCAUUCGAUACGGGCGAGCUAGAGUUUGGUAGGGGAGACU